This is a long non-coding RNA of Sesamum indicum (sesame), 746 nucleotides long. RefSeq lists it as uncharacterized. Lineage: Eukaryota; Viridiplantae; Streptophyta; Magnoliopsida; Lamiales; Pedaliaceae. The record is from RefSeq and is a predicted model, not a curated record.
AUAUUUUAGAGAAAUAAAAGCAGAGCAUAUUGGAGAAAGGGACAGAAAGAAACAUAAAAGAUGAAAUAAUACAGAAGAGAGGAUAAUUUACUGAAAUUGUGAGAGCAAAAACAAGACAGUUUGAGGAACAUACACUGAGUCCCACCUCUGACUGAAACCUGACCAGUUUACAUAACCUCCAUUUCCUCAAAGGAUCAAUCGCGCUAAAGAAGAAGCAGCUUGUAAUUCUUGGUGACAAUGUGAUGUUAGACUAUAUGUUCUCAUAGAGAGUCGUUUUCUGGCGUCUUUGAAGUAUUGGGGAAAAUGGCUGCUGGAAUACCAUUGAUUGCCGUUGAGCACCAGAGGCUCUUGGUUUUGUGAUGAUAGGCUAUGUUAAGUGUAUAAAGAUGAGUUCUGCAGAAGAAAAGCCUAAGUGGACUGUGUUUGAAGAAGUGAAGGAUAUAUCAGUAGCUCCUGAGGCACUUAUGGCUGAUAUAAAUUCUGCCAUUGCCGCCCUUGAGUAUGCCCGUGCUGCUACUUUCUUGCAGCGUCCGCCUCCUUCUGUAUCGAAACCAAAGACACUAAUAAAGAGUUGAGUUCUCGAUAUGAUGCUCAAACUUAGUUGUGAUACAUUUACAUUCCUUAAAGCUGUGUCCUAAAGGACCAGUCAUACAACUUUGUCAUUCCUGUUUUCUGUUCUUGGUAGUAAAAUUGUCUGCUGUUGUAGAAGGACCUUCUUUUGAUAAUAGAAAUUCUAGCAUUUUGUU